This 463-nucleotide long non-coding RNA is filed under the name Sus scrofa (pig). RNAcentral describes it as "lncRNA (ENSSSCG00035039275.1, ENSSSCG00065001002.1)". Lineage: Eukaryota; Metazoa; Chordata; Mammalia; Artiodactyla; Suidae. The record is from RNAcentral.
AACAAUACCAACUUUUCUUUCUCAUGAUGGUUUCCAGAAGUGAACAAAGGACAUCCAGAACACACUGUCUUCUUUGGAAACAUGAUUCCAGAGUUACUAGAAGAUGAAAAGAUUCAUUUUCACUUUGGGGUAUAAAGCCAGUAAGACCAUGUCAUCUCCCAUUCAAAACACAAGCUUGGACUCAGGGUUGGGUCAAGUGUUUUCCAGAAAACUAAUGGUUCUGAUCUCAGAAAAGAAAUGGAUCCUGAGUAGCAACAGAUGACCACUAUAUAUAUAUAUAUUUUUUGCUAUACAGAUAUUUUGAAACAGUUCAUUAUCUAAUUGGCCCUACCUUAUUGCCUGGAUAAGAAGGACUAAGAGAAUAACAGAAUGUGGCCCAAGAAAGACUCACUGACCCAGUAAGUAAAGAAAUAUUUUUCUCUCUGUUUUCCUAUUUCAAAAUUCCCUUUUCUGCUCUCAAUUC